GACGAACGCUGGCGGCAUGCCUAACACAUGCAAGUCGAACGGAGAUUAUUUCGGUAAUCUUAGUGGCGAACGGGUGAGUAACGCGUGGGCAACCUGCCCUCUAGAUGGGGACAACAUCCCGAAAGGGGUGCUAAUACCGAAUGUGACAGCAAUCUCGCAUGAGGAUGCUGUGAAAGAUGGCCUCUAUUUAUAAGCUAUCGCUAGAGGAUGGGCCUGCGUCUGAUUAGCUAGUUGGUGGGGUAACGGCCUACCAAGGCGAUGAUCAGUAGCCGGUCUGAGAGGAUGAACGGCCACAUUGGGACUGAGACACGGCCCAGACUCCUACGGGAGGCAGCAGUGGGGAAUCUUCCGCAAUGGGCGAAGGCCUGACGGAGCAAUGCCGCGUGAGUGAUGAAGGAAUUCGUUCCGUAAAGCUCUUUUGUUUAUGACGAAUGUGCAGAUUGUGAACAAUGAUCUGUAAUGACGGUAGUAAACGAAUAAGCCACGGCUAACUACGUG
RNAcentral lists this ribosomal RNA (498 nucleotides) under uncultured bacterium. RNAcentral describes it as "partial 16S ribosomal RNA". It matches the Rfam family "Bacterial small subunit ribosomal RNA", at positions 28 to 507 of the family's 1533-position model. The record is from RNAcentral.